Long non-coding RNA from Clupea harengus (Atlantic herring), 566 nucleotides. Lineage: Eukaryota; Metazoa; Chordata; Actinopteri; Clupeiformes; Clupeidae. The record is from Ensembl.
AUGCUGUGGCUACUACCCCAGCACCUAAUCCACACAACCAGACAACAUCUGCACAAACUGAAGUUACUGAUGGAGCCAGUGAAGAUGCUGUGGACCGCCAAAGUGAUGAUGUGGUUGUCACCACAACACCCAAUCCCCACAACCAGACCACAUCUGCCCAUACUGAAGCUGGUGGUGGAGCAAGUGAAGAUGCUGUGGCUACUACCCCAGCACCCAAUCCAGACAACCAGACAACUUCUGCACAAGCUGAAGUUACUGAUGGAGCCAGUGAAGAUGCUGUGGACCGCCAAAGUGAUGAUGUGGUUGUAGCCACAACACCCGAUCACCACAACCAGACACAACAAUCAAUCCAGACACAACAAUCUGCCCAUACUUCAGCUGGUGGUGGAGCAAGUGAAGAUGCUGUGGCUACUACCCCAGCACCUAAUCCAGACAACCAGACAACUUCUGCACAAGCUGAAGUUACUGAUGGAGCCAGUGAAGAUGCUCUGGACCGCCAAAGUGAUGAUGUGGUUGUCACCACAACACCCAAUCCCACAACCAGACCACAUCUGCCCAUACUGAAA